Ctenopharyngodon idella (grass carp) is the source of this 824-nucleotide long non-coding RNA. RefSeq lists it as uncharacterized. The transcript has 2 exons. NCBI's taxonomy places the organism in Eukaryota, Metazoa, Chordata, Actinopteri, Cypriniformes, Xenocyprididae. The record is from RefSeq and is a predicted model, not a curated record.
GGGGCACCUGCACCAGAAACUGCCAUGAAGAUGAAUGGGAACGCUAAUGGAUGGCCCUUUCCAGAUGACUACAACUGAUAGCCAGGCACAGCCGCCCAGUACCUGCUACAUUUGGAGUUGAAACACACACCCUGUCACCUUCUGACCGCAUUACUCAUCCACAGCCAAACAAAUAAAUCAGAAUAAUGAUAAUAGUCAAAAUUCAAAUCAGCCGGAGGAAACGGUCCAUGAAAGUACCAACAGUGACGUACGCGUUUGGCUGUGUUGACGGCAGCGAGCGAUUUCCAUGACAGUGUUUAAAUAGGUGCGGUCCCACUCCUCCUCACAGAGCUCUGCGCCUGGAUUACUUCAUAAUCCACAGCAUAUUAUGGGCCUGGCACUAAUUGAAAGAUAAAUGAGUUUAUUUGGGUUAAAUCCAUCACUAUGACAUGAACCCAAAGGAGAGCGAGGGGGGGAGGAGAGAUGGGAGCGCAAAGGAAUACUGAAGACAUUUGAUUUGCGCCUUUCUAUCAGCCAGCUGGAUCAGAAGUAACAUCAGAGAUGAACACGCGCGGGAUCACAAGUGAUUAAGGAUGUGAGGUUAAUAUAUCCAAGCUUCAUUUUCAUGCAGAACAUUUACUUAAAGGUACACUACGUAACUUUUUUUUUCAAAAUUAACAAAAUUUAAAUAAUGAGUCAAUACAUCAUCAAUUCUUCUUCCAAAAUGUGUUUUUUUACUAUGGUAAAUGUUUUUAGACCUAGCAGGAUGAUUUUCAGGGGAAAUUUCUUACGUCACUCACCAGUGCACUUCUCGUCAUAUCCGUAAAUAGAGAAAAGUUGCUCCA